UACAGAGGUCCCGAGCGUUGUUCGGAUUCAUUGGGCGUAAAGGGUGCGUAGGCGGUCUUCUAAGUUUGAUGUGAAAUCCCGGGGCUUAACCCUGGAAUUGCAUUGAAUACUGGAGGACUUGAGUCCCGGAGAGGAAACUGGAAUUUACGGUGUAGCAGUGAAAUGCGUAGAGAUCGUAAGGAAGACCAGUGGCGAAGGCGAGUUUCUGGACGGGUACUGACGCUGAGGCACGAAGGCCAGGGGAGCAAACGGG
This 253-nucleotide ribosomal RNA is filed under the name uncultured bacterium. RNAcentral's name for it is "partial 16S ribosomal RNA". It matches the Rfam family "Bacterial small subunit ribosomal RNA", at positions 524 to 776 of the family's 1533-position model. The record is from RNAcentral.